This 996-nucleotide ribosomal RNA is filed under the name uncultured Clostridium sp. RNAcentral's name for it is "bacterial SSU rRNA". It matches the Rfam family "Bacterial small subunit ribosomal RNA", at positions 507 to 1501 of the family's 1533-position model. Lineage: Bacteria; Bacillati; Bacillota; Clostridia; Eubacteriales; Clostridiaceae. The record is from RNAcentral.
GCCAGCCGCCGCGGUAAUACAGAGGUCCCGAGCGUUGUUCGGAUUCACUGGGCGUAAAGGGUGCGUAGGUGGUGAGGUGUGUCGGAUGUGAAAUCUCGGAGCUCAACUCCGAAACUGCAUUGGAAACUACCUUGCUAGAGGGUUGGAGGGGGGACUGGAAUACUUGGUGUAGCAGUGAAAUGCGUAGAUAUCAAGUGGAACACCAGUGGCGAAGGCGGCUCUCUGGCCUGUUACUGACGCUGAGGCGCGAAAGCGUGGGGAGCGAACGGGAUUAGAUACCCCGGUAGUCCACGCCGUAAACGAUGGGUGCUAGGUGUAGGAGGUAUCGACCCCUUCUGUGCCGUAGUUAACACAAUAAGCACCCCGCCUGGGGAGUACGGCCGCAAGGUUGAAACUCAAAGGAAUUGACGGGGGCCCGCACAAGCGGUGGAGCAUGUGGUUUAAUUCGAUGCAACGCGAAGAACCUUACCUGGCCUUGACAUGCAUAUAGUAGAAGGGUGAAAGCCUGACGAGGUAGCAAUACCAGUAUGCACAGGUGCUGCAUGGCUGUCGUCAGCUCGCGUCGUGAGAUGUUGGGUUAAGUCCCGCAACGAGCGCAACCCUUAUCAUUAGUUGCUACCAUUAAGUUGAGCACUCUAAUGAGACUGCCCGGGUUAACCGGGAGGAAGGUGGGGAUGACGUCAAAUCAUCAUGCCCCUUAUGUCUAGGGCUACACACGUGCUACAAUGGUUGGUACAAAGAGACGCAAGACCGUGAGGUGGAGCAAAACUCAAAAACCAAUCCCAGUUCGGAUUGUAGGCUGAAACUCGCCUACAUGAAGCCGGAGUUGCUAGUAAUCGCGAAUCAGCAUGUCGCGGUGAAUACGUUCCCGGGCCUUGUACACACCGCCCGUCACACCAUGAGAGUUGGCAACACCCGAAGUCCGUGAGGUAACCGUAAGGAGCCAGCGGCCGAAGGUGGGGUCAAUGAUUGGGGUGAAGUCGUAACAAGGUAUCC